AUGACCCCUGGUGCUGACCACAUCGGGAGGAGCCAGUCUUUCCAUGAUCUCCCAGCUGCUCCUUCUCUGGUCUCCCUCCUCAGCCGAGGCCACCAUGUGCCCGAGCACAAACGUGCUGACUGGCUGAGGGGCCCCGCACUUCAGGUUUUUCAUGAUGGGAUCCUCGGCCAUGGACCUCCCAUGCCGCUCUGUCCGCGCUUCCAUGUGACUGUGGGUGAGAGCACCAUCACAGCCCCCAUCAUGGAGUCCGAGCUGUCCGUUCAUCUCACCGAAUCACCCACGACACUGGGAGGGUCGACAAAGCAGAUGCUGUGCUGUAUUCAUACUCCUGUUCAUUCCACCCUUGGAAACCACAACGAUAGGUGCACAGGUCUACACCUACCAGUCCCCCAACCUAUGCUCCAAAUCGCUGCUGCGUCCAACCUCCAGGAAGCCCGGGGAUACCAGCACUCUUGACAUCAGAGCACCCUCUUCUUCUACCUCCAAACAGGGUAUGGCACGCUUAUUAUUUAACAAUUUAAAAGAAUUCCAGCUAAUUCUUGUUUGGCUAAUCCUUUUCUGAAAAGCCAAGCCACUCCUUGUAAUCAUUUAAACACCCUCAGGGUAUCACGAACACCAGAGCUGUGAAUCAUCACUCCACAGUGACCUCCUCUGGCAUCUGCUGUGGAGAGAGAAUCACGUCAGUCUCCACCAAUUCUAAGCCUCAGCUUAAGACUGAACACAUAAUAGUAUAGUAAUUGUUUCCACCACUGGAAAUGCUGUUACUCAUAGUUAUUUAAAGUUACUGUCUUCACAAAAGUCACCAGAGCCCCUUUACUGUGACAGGUUCCUUUGUGAGCUGACAUUUCUACUUAGACGCACAACUGGACCCACAAAUUUAUCACGGAUGUUUCCUUACCAGAGAGCAUGGUAAGCAGUUGCUGACUAGCAUUGGUCAUUAUUAGGGGAUGUCUGAGCAAAAUUAAAAUACUGGCUUAACAGGUCUCUUAAUUCAGGGAGAACUUGCGCAGAGCUCCCUAAAAUAAUGGGUGAUUUCAAGUCAUAGCGACACAGUGUCUCAUGCUGUUGUUUCAGUAACACCAACACUACCAUCACUCCUACUCGGAAGCGCUUCUCUCAAAUGCUCCUGAUUCUACUCUAGGAAGCAGUGUGGCUUUGAAGGCAUCAGACACAUUUGUGAAUUUGUGUAAGGGUCGGGUCUUUACCUCUUAUGCCUCAAAUGUCCCUGUCUUUGAAUUAAAGAUAAUAGGACUGGAUUCCCGGAUUAAAACAAGAGUUCUCAGUCGGGGAUAAUGGGCACCGUUCUGCCCACCAGAGGACACAUGUCCAUGUCUAAAGACAUUUUUGUUUGUCACAACUCAAGGGUGCUGGUGAUAGAAACCCAGGAAGCUGCUUGCUGGACAUCCUACCAGGAACAGGACAGUCCCCACAACACAGGAUGAAUGGACCUGGUAUCAAUAGUGUCAAGGCUGAGAAACCCUGAGUUAGAAUAAGGAAAUUUUUUGUCCUUUUCCUUUUUUUUUUUUUUUUUUUUUUUNNNNNNNNNNNNNNNNNNNNNNNNNNNNNNNNNNNNNNNNNNNNNNNNNNNNNNNNNNNNNNNNNNNN
Molecule: long non-coding RNA, 1605 nt
Organism: Mustela putorius furo (domestic ferret)
Lineage: Eukaryota; Metazoa; Chordata; Mammalia; Carnivora; Mustelidae
Source: Ensembl